AGAGUUUGAUCAUGGCUCAGGACGAACGCUGGCGGCGCGCUUAACACAUGCAAGUCGAACGGUGAACCGGGCUUCGGCCCGGGGAUCAGUGGCGAACGGGUGCGUAACACGUGGGCAACCUGCCCCUCACUCUGGGAUAACCCCGGGAAACCGGAGCUAAUACCGGAUACUCCGCGCGAGCCGCAUGGCUCGAACGGGAAAGGUCCGCCGGUGAGGGAUGGGCCUGCGGCCUAUCAGCUUGUUGGUGAGGUAACGGCCCACCAAGGCUUCGACGGGUAGCUGGUCUGAGAGGACGACCAGCCACACUGGGACUGAGAUACGGCCCAGACUCCUACGGGAGGCAGCAGUGGGGAAUCUUGCGCAAUGGGCGAAAGCCUGACGCAGCGACGCCGCGUGGGGGAUGACGGCCCUCGGGUUGUAAACCCCUUUCGGCAGGGACGAAGCGAUCGUGACGGUACCUGCAGAAGAAGCUCGGCUAACUACUGCCAGCAGCCGCGGUA
This 500-nucleotide ribosomal RNA is filed under the name uncultured Actinomycetes bacterium. RNAcentral's name for it is "bacterial SSU rRNA". It matches the Rfam family "Bacterial small subunit ribosomal RNA", at positions 8 to 522 of the family's 1533-position model. Lineage: Bacteria; Bacillati; Actinomycetota; Actinomycetes. The record is from RNAcentral.